GCCUUCGUGGUGUAGCGGUAGCACUCUCGACGCGUAUUCGAGAGGUCUAGGUUCGAGUCCAGGCGAAGGCA
This 71-nucleotide transfer RNA is filed under the name Stegodyphus mimosarum. It matches the Rfam family "tRNA". Rfam says of the family: Transfer RNA (tRNA) molecules are approximately 80 nucleotides in length. Their secondary structure includes four short double-helical elements and three loops (D, anti-codon, and T loops). Lineage: Eukaryota; Metazoa; Arthropoda; Arachnida; Araneae; Eresidae. The record is from Rfam by way of RNAcentral.